AGAACAGUCAGUUGCUAUGGUAGAAGACAAACAACAACUGCAUAAACAGGAAGGGAAAGCUAUGCCCAUCCCAAAAGGGCAGAGACAUGCUGGAACAAAGAAAACAUGGGCAUAUAGGUUUCUAAUGUUCUGAUAUUGAAAGUAAUAAUCAGGCUUCUAAACCUCAAACCACCUGAAAAAAAAAUAGGAAUGGCAUUAAACAAAACAUUAAUGACAUGUUUGACUGGAAGAAGAGAUGGCCAAGGAAUAUACCAUGAGUGAAGGGAAACAAAUGAACAUCUCAGAUGUCCCUGGAUCCAUGCCAGAAGCAGCUGAGGAAGGCAGCCUCCAGGCUAUAAAGUGGAAUUUCCAAGAAAACUAUAGACUGCAAUGGUAGAAACAAGGAGAUAAGGAAGAGAAAUCUUACCAUUGCCAGUACCAGAAAUAAUUGCUUUGCUGGAUUAAAUCAAAGUCUGCAGAACUCAAACUCCUUGCCAUUGAUACUGGAAUUCUGACUUUAAGUA
Molecule: long non-coding RNA, 503 nt
Organism: Monodelphis domestica (gray short-tailed opossum)
Lineage: Eukaryota; Metazoa; Chordata; Mammalia; Didelphimorphia; Didelphidae
Source: RefSeq, a predicted model, not a curated record